Non-coding RNA from Odocoileus virginianus texanus, 902 nucleotides. The record is from RefSeq and is a predicted model, not a curated record. NCBI's taxonomy places the organism in Eukaryota, Metazoa, Chordata, Mammalia, Artiodactyla, Cervidae.
CGAUGCUACUAAAGAGACUAAAAAGUAAAGGAGAAUUAAAAACUAGUCAAGAAAGACUUCAUCUACCACUGGAUCUUUUACAGACUGACCUGCUGCAGUUCAUAGGGUCACAGAGAUCCAGUUUGUAAAAGAUCCAGAAGAAUUUAAGAAAGGAAAAAGAUAUGAAAGUUUAUGGUAUUGUACCUGGAGGAAAAAGGAAAUCACAACACUGAACAUUCCUACUGACACACAACCUAGAAUCUUUGAUAAUUUUCUGAUCACUGGAAUUGGAUUGAUAAAAAUCAAUCAGUGGCAUACCAAUGCAUCAUCCAAUCAAGACUAAGAAAUCCUGGACUAAUAUGGGCCAAGUGCCCUUAUGAGAAGAUACAUGAGAGAGUUUCCUCUGUCUUCUCUCUGCCCUGUGAGGAUCUACAGAGGAGAAGGCCAUGUACAAGUCAGAACCCUCACCAGACAUUGCUGGCACCUUGAUCUUGGGCUUCUCAGCCUCCAGAACGACUAGCAGUGACUGUUGGCUGUUUAAGCUGCCGAGUGUGCAGGGUUUCUCACAGCAGCCCACGGUGUCCUUUGCUGCAUCCUUCAGUGUCGUUUUGCAAAGUCUCCUUUCCACAAAGCAGGGUCGGACCUGGCAGGACAGGGAUGAUGAUGGUGGUCAUCUGGUUACUGUUGUGCUUUUGCAUUCUGGGAGCAGAAUUCCCUCCAGUAAAGUACUCUAGAGGAGAUGGCAACAGAUGCCCAGCAGUUGGGGUGCCAGCUCAAGCCAUGUGGCUCAGAGUUUCAGAGAACCAUGCCGUAAAGGUGGGACAUGUUGUGGACCAGGAGAGCUAGCCCAGAUGAAUUCCUGCUCGGCGCUUGCCAGUAGCUCUGCGAAUUAACAGCAGUCCAGUUCUGCUUGAAAGUGAAGA